UAAUGGUGCAGGUAGAGAUACGCUGUAUACUCACGUCACCGAAUGAAAGUUUAAGCGAUAUGCAAUAUCGUCGGCCGUGAGGACGCCUUCGGGCGUCUUUUUUUUAC
Molecule: non-coding RNA, 107 nt
Filed under: unclassified sequences
Description: DUF3800-I RNA
Rfam family: DUF3800-I RNA
About the family: Actinobacteria, Firmicutes, Fusobacteria, Proteobacteria (1 example), Tenericutes (2 examples). Terminator (Clostridia)
Source: Rfam by way of RNAcentral